GAUGAACGCUAGCGGCAGGCUUAACACAUGCAAGUCGAGGGGCAGCGUGGAGCAGCAAUGCUCUGACGGCGACCGGCGCACGGGUGAGUAACGCGUAUCCAACCUUCCGUACACUCAGGGAUAGCCUUUCGAAAGAAAGAUUAAUACCUGAUGGUAUGAUGAGAUCGCAUGGUAUCAUCAUUAAAGAUUUAUCGGUGUACGAUGGGGAUGCGUUCCAUUAGGUAGUAGGCGGGGUAACGGCCCACCUAGCCUACGAUGGAUAGGGGUUCUGAGAGGAAGGUCCCCCCANAUUGGAACUGAGACACGGUCCAAAACUCCUACGGGAGCAGCAGUGAGGAAUAUUGGGUCCAAUGGACGGGAGUCUGAACCAGCCAAGUAGCGUGAAGGAUGACUGCCCUAUGGGUUGUAAACUUCUUUUAUACGGGAAUAAAGUGGUCCACGUGUGGAUUUUUGUAUGUACCGUAUGAAUAGGAUCGGCUAACUCCGUGCCAGCAGCC
Molecule: ribosomal RNA, 497 nt
Filed under: uncultured bacterium
Lineage: Bacteria
Description: bacterial SSU rRNA
Rfam family: Bacterial small subunit ribosomal RNA
Source: RNAcentral